Molecule: ribosomal RNA, 1276 nt
Filed under: uncultured archaeon
Lineage: Archaea
Description: bacterial SSU rRNA
Rfam family: Archaeal small subunit ribosomal RNA
Source: RNAcentral
ACCUCGGGAACUGAGGCCAAUACCGAAUACGGCUCUCACGCUUGAAUGCCGAGAGCCAGAAACGCUUCCGCGCCGUAGGAUGUGGCUGCGGCCGAUUAGGUAGACGGUGGGGUAACGGCCCACCGUGCCGAUAAUCGGUACAGGUGGUGACAGCCAGAGCCUGGAGACGGUAUCUGAGACAAGAUACCGGGCCCUACGGGGCGCAGCAGGCGCGAAACCUUUACACUGCACGACAGUGCGAUAAGGGGACUCCGAGUGCGAGGGCAUAGCGCCCUCGCUUUUCUCGAUCCUAGCACGGUCGAGGAACAAGGACUGGGCAAGACCGGUGCCAGCCGCCGCGGUAAUACCGGCAGUCCAAGUGAUGGCCAAUAUUAUUGGGCCUAAAGCGUCCGUAGCCUGCCGUGCAAGUCCAUCGGGAAAUCGGCUCGCUCAACGAGCCGGCGUCCGGUGGAAACUGUACGGCUUGGGGCCGGGAGACUCGACGGGUACGUCCGGGGUAGGAGUGAAAUCCUAUAAUCCUGGACGGACCACCAAUGGCGAAAGCACGUCGAGAGACCGGACCCGACGGUGAGGGACGAAAGCCAGGGUCUCGAACCGGAUUAGAUACCCGGGUAGUCCUGGCCGUAAACGAUGCCUGCUAGGUACGCCGCUCGCCACGAGCGCGCGGUGUGCCGCAGUGAAGACGAUAAGCAGGCCGCCUGGGAAGUACGUCCGCAAGGAUGAAACUUAAAGGAAUUGGCGGGGGAGCACCACAACCGGAGGAGCCUGCGGUUUAAUUGGACUCAACGCCGGACAUCUCACCGGUCCCGACAGUAGUGAUGACGGUCAGCUUGACGAGCUUACCCGUACGCUACUGAGAGGAGGUGCAUGGCCGCCGUCAGCUCGUACCGUGAGGCAUCCUGUUAAGUCAGGUAACGAGCGAGACCCGUGUCCGUAAUUGCCAGCGAUACCCCUGUGGUAGUCGGGUACAUUACGGAGACCGCCGACGCUAAGUCGGAGGAAGGAGCGGGCAACGGUAGGUCAGUAUGCCCCGAAUGGACCGGCCAACACGCGGGCUACAAUGGUCGAGACAAUGGGUCGCGAUACCGAGAGGUAGAGCUAAUCUCACAAACUCGGUCGUAGUUCGGAUUGAGGGCUGAAACUCGCCCUCAUGAAGCUGGAUUCGGUAGUAAUCGCGUGUCAGAAGCGCGCGGUGAAUACGUCCCUGCUCCUUGCACACACCGCCCGUCAAAUCACCCGAGUGAGAUCCGGAUGAGGCCAUCAUGCGAUGGUCAAA